GUGAGUGUUCGUUUCCAUGUUUACAUCAAUCUUCUCACAUAUACUUAGUAUAGGGAGUGUAGUUAGAAAAUCUGUGUGAAAAUAAGAGUGUAUCCAGUAAGGAAUUGAGUGGAUUCUCUAAGGCAUGUUACUACGUCCAUAAUGUUGUUUUAAACGAUUAAAUGUGAGCUAGUGAAUGGUAACUAUGAUUAAGUAUAUGCUCAAGAGUAGGGAUGACUAAAAUCUGUGGGAAUAAUGAUCUUUGGCAUGUUAUGUAUCGUUGGAAAUCCCUGUAGCAAAUGUUGGAAGGU
This 290-nucleotide long non-coding RNA is filed under the name Malus domestica (apple). RNAcentral's name for it is "long non-coding RNA (MDOM_LNC021263)". The record is from RNAcentral. Lineage: Eukaryota; Viridiplantae; Streptophyta; Magnoliopsida; Rosales; Rosaceae.